This 467-nucleotide ribosomal RNA is filed under the name uncultured bacterium. RNAcentral describes it as "partial 16S ribosomal RNA". It matches the Rfam family "Bacterial small subunit ribosomal RNA", at positions 28 to 507 of the family's 1533-position model. The record is from RNAcentral.
GACGAACGCUGGCGGCGUGCUUAACACAUGCGAGUCGAACGGAAAGGCUCCAGCUUGCUGGAGUACUCGAGUGGCGAACGGGUGAGUAACACGUGGGUAAUCUGCCCUGCACUCUGGGAUAAGCCUGGGAAACUGGGUCUAAUACUGGAUAUGACCUUUCUCCUUAUGGGGUUUGGUGGAAAGUUUUUCGGUGUAGGAUGAGCCCGCGGCCUAUCAGCUUGUUGGUGGGGUGAUGGCUUACCAAGGCGACGACGGGUAGCCGGCCUGAGAGGGUGAUCGGCCACAUUGGGACUGAGAUACGGCCCAGACUCCUACGGGAGGCAGCAGUGGGGAAUAUUGCACAAUGGGCGGAAGCCUGAUGCAGCGACGCCGCGUGAGGGAUGACGGCCUUCGGGUUGUAAACCUCUUUCAGCAGGGACGAAGCGUAAGUGACGGUACCUGCAGAAGAAGCACCGGCUAACUAUGUG